Molecule: ribosomal RNA, 253 nt
Filed under: uncultured bacterium
Lineage: Bacteria
Description: partial 16S ribosomal RNA
Rfam family: Bacterial small subunit ribosomal RNA
Source: RNAcentral
CACGUAGGCACCAAGCGUUGUCCGGAUUUAUUGGGCGUAAAGAGCUCGUAGGCGGUUUGUUGCGUCGGCCGUGAAAACCUGCAGCUUAACUGUGGGCCUGCGGCCGAUACGGGCAGACUUGAGUUCGGUAGGGGAGACUGGAAUUCCUGGUGUAGCGGUGAAAUGCGCAGAUAUCAGGAGGAACACCGGUGGCGAAGGCGGGUCUCUGGGCCGAUACUGACGCUGAGGAGCGAAAGCGUGGGGAGCGAACAGG